UACAGAGGUCUCAAGCGUUGUUCGGAUUCAUUGGGCGUAAAGGGUGCGUAGGCGGCGCGGUAAGUCGGGUGUGAAAUCUCGGAGCUUAACUCCGAAACUGCAUUCGAUACUGCCGUGCUUGAGGACUGGAGAGGAGACUGGAAUUUACGGUGUAGCGGUGAAAUGCGUAGAUAUCGGGAGGAACACCAGUGGCGAAGGCGAGUCCCUGGACAAUUCCUGACGCUGAGGCACGAAAGCCAGGGGAGCAAACAGG
RNAcentral lists this ribosomal RNA (253 nucleotides) under uncultured bacterium. RNAcentral's name for it is "partial 16S ribosomal RNA". It matches the Rfam family "Bacterial small subunit ribosomal RNA", at positions 524 to 776 of the family's 1533-position model. The record is from RNAcentral.